Molecule: ribosomal RNA, 253 nt
Filed under: uncultured bacterium
Lineage: Bacteria
Description: partial 16S ribosomal RNA
Rfam family: Bacterial small subunit ribosomal RNA
Source: RNAcentral
GACGUAGGGCGCGAGCGUUGUCCGGAUUUAUUGGGCGUAAAGAGCUCGUAGGCGGCUUGUCGCGUCGAAUGUGAAAACCUGCAGCUCAACCUCAGGCCUGCAGUCGAUACGAGCAGACUAGAGUGUUGCAGGGGAGACUGGAAUUCCUGGUGUAGCGGUGAAAUGCGCAGAUAUCAGGAGGAACACCGAUGGCGAAGGCAGGUCUCUGGGCCACUACUGACGCUGAGAAGCGAAAGCAUGGGGAGCGAACAGG